UGGGGAAUUUUGGACAAUGGGCGAAAGCCUGAUCCAGCAAUGCCGCGUGUGUGAAGAAGGCCUUCGGGUUGUAAAGCACUUUUGUCCGGAAAGAAAUCCUUGGCUCUAAUACAGUCGGGGGAUGACGGUACCGGAAGAAUAAGCACCGGCUAACUACGUGCCAGCAGCCGCGGUAAUACGUAGGGUGCAAGCGUUAAUCGGAAUUACUGGGCGUAAAGCGUGCGCAGGCGGUUUGCUAAGACCGAUGUGAAAUCCCCGGGCUCAACCUGGGAACUGCAUUGGUGACUGGCAGGCUAGAGUAUGGCAGAAGGGGGUAGAAUUCCACGUGUAGCAGUGAAAUGCGUAGAGAUGUGGAGGAAUACCGAUGGCGAAGGCAGCCCCCUGGGCCAAUACUGACGCUCAUGCACGAAAGCGUGGGGAGCAAACAGGAUUAGAUACCCUGGUAGUCCACGCCCUAAACGAUGUCAACUAGUUGUUGGGGAUUCAUUUCCUUAGUAACGUAGCUAACGCGUGAAGUUGCACCGGCUGGGAGUAACGGUCGUCAAAGAUUAAACUUAAAUGAAUUGACGGGGUCAUAGCUGUUUCCU
This 587-nucleotide ribosomal RNA is filed under the name uncultured bacterium. RNAcentral describes it as "partial 16S ribosomal RNA". It matches the Rfam family "Bacterial small subunit ribosomal RNA", at positions 355 to 1375 of the family's 1533-position model. The record is from RNAcentral.